AGUCUGAGAAAAUGGUACUCAAUGUCUUGUCGUGUUUUGUGCUUAGAAGCGGAGCUUUAUUUACAAAUGAUACUGAAAGCUCCAGAAAUAGCGCCAUCUAUUGGUGGACCACGAUACAUGCAAGCAUUAAUUGCUAGAUCAGCUGAUCGUGUGAAGUCCAGACCAAAAUAGACAAGCGAUUACCUUUUUGAGUAGGAUUAAUUGUCAAAUUUCCGAAAAAAAAGGUUUUUGUUGUUGGUUUUGGUUGGAAGAAAUGGUUAGCAGGUUAUGUGCAGAACCUGAAAAAAAAAUAGUGGAAAAGUGCAUGUGCUUUAAUAGAAAAAAAAAAGUACAUCAGUGAAGUGGUUGGUGUAGUCAGAUGCAUAAAACGUACUUUGCACCUUGCCGUCCACUUGUAGCUGUUUGUCCACUAUAGGAAUUUGCCAACUGGCGUAAAUAAACCAAGUGCCGUUUUCCAGAUUAGGAUUCGGCACUUCGUCAUAAAUUAUAAUAACUCAAUCCUAAUUUAUAUAAUAACCCAGUGUGUAAAUUAUAAUAACCAAGUGGUAGAAUUUUAAAUUAAUUUAAAAUGAAACUUCAACACACACAACUGCUUGAUUAACGGCCAACCACCAAAAGCUCCAAGUCGCAGCUGUGCUGGACACAUCAGCUGUCUGGGCCACGCAAUCAUAUGAGCUGUUGCUAGCUGCAGACGCUCAUUGAGCACAGGAGAAUUGCUUCCCAGCAGGUGGUGUUUCUACUGCAAAACACCUGCGUCCGGCAGCCUUGCGAUCUCCGUUGGCUAUUUGCUCCGCACUUGUGGUGGCAUCGAGGCCGAGUAUCUGCGUCACCCAGGAGGAAGGCGAACGGCUGACUAGCAGCUUAUUUUUUUUUUUGUUUGUUUGUUUAUUAUUGUUAAUUUACGUUAUGUUGUUUAAGUAUGCAUUAAUAAGUGAUAGUCCAUCAAUGUUGUAAGUGUAAUAUGAUGUGGCGAGAAAGUUGAUCC
Drosophila albomicans is the source of this 985-nucleotide long non-coding RNA. RefSeq lists it as uncharacterized. The transcript is spliced from 3 exons. The record is from RefSeq and is a predicted model, not a curated record. Lineage: Eukaryota; Metazoa; Arthropoda; Insecta; Diptera; Drosophilidae.